RNAcentral lists this ribosomal RNA (849 nucleotides) under uncultured bacterium. RNAcentral describes it as "bacterial SSU rRNA". It matches the Rfam family "Bacterial small subunit ribosomal RNA", at positions 556 to 1403 of the family's 1533-position model. The record is from RNAcentral.
GGGCGUAAGGAUGCGUAGGCUGGAAAUCAAGUCGAGAGUGAAAUCCAACGGCUCAACCGUUGAACUGCUCUCGAAACUGGUUACCUAGAAUAUGGGAGAGGUAGAUGGAAUUGGUGGUGUAGGGGUAAAAUCCGUAGAUAUCACCAGGAAUACCGAUUGCGAAGGCGAUCUACUGGAACAUUAUUGACGCUGAGGCAUGAAAGCGUGGGGAGCAAACAGGAUUAGAUACCCUGGUAGUCCACGCCCUAAACGAUGCACACUAGUUGUUGCGAUGCUAGUCAUUGCAGUAAUGCACUUAACAGAUUAAGUGUGCCGCCUGGGGAGUACGGUCGCAAGAUUAAAACUCAAAGGAAUAGACGGGGACCCGCACAAGCGGUGGAGCAUGUGGUUUAAUUCGAAGAUACACGAAGAACCUUACCUGGGCUUGAUAUCCUAAGAAUCCUGUAGAGAUAUGGGAGUGCUAGUUUACUAGAACUUAGAGACAGGUGCUGCACGGCUGUCGUCAGCUCGUGUCGUGAGAUGUUGGGUUAAGUCCCGCAACGAGCGCAACCCUCGUGAUUAGUUGCUAACAGUUCGGCUGAGCACUCUAAUCAGACUGCCUUCGCAAGGAGGAGGAAGGUGAGGACGACGUCAAGUCAUCAUGGCCCUUAUGCCCAGGGCUACACACGUGCUACAAUGGCUAGGACAAAGAGAAGCGAUACUGCGAAGUGGAGCAAAUCUUAAAACCUAGUCUCAGUUCGGAUUGGAGUCUGCAACUCGACUCCAUGAAGCUGGAAUCGCUAGUAAUCGUAGAUCAGAUAUGCUACGGUGAAUACGUUCCCGGGUCUUGUACUCACCGCCCGUCACACC